RNAcentral lists this ribosomal RNA (494 nucleotides) under uncultured bacterium. RNAcentral's name for it is "partial 16S ribosomal RNA". It matches the Rfam family "Bacterial small subunit ribosomal RNA", at positions 28 to 507 of the family's 1533-position model. The record is from RNAcentral.
GACGAACGCUGGCGGCGUGCCUAAUACAUGCAAGUAGAACGCUGAAGGGGGAGCUUGCUUCUCUGGAUGAGUUGCGCACGGGUGAGUAACGCGUAUGUAACCUGCCUGUUAGCGGGGGAUAACUCUUGGAAACGCUAGCUAUUACCGCAUAAUAGUAGAUGUUGCAUGUCAUUUGCUUAAAAGGUGCAAUUUCAUCACUACCUGAUGAACCGGCGUUGUUUUAGCUAGUUGUUGAGGUAACGGCUCACCAAGACGACGAUGAAUAGCCGACCUGAGAGGGGGAUCGGCAACACUGGAACUGAGACACGGCCCAGACUCCUACGGGGGCAGCAGUAGGGAAUCCUUGGCAAUGGAGCGAAGUCUGACCGGGCAACGGCGCGGGAGGGAAGAAGGUUUUCGGAUCGUAAAGCUCUGUUGUAAGGGAAGAAAGAGUGUGGGAGUGGAAAGUUCACACUGUGACGGUAUCUAACCAGAAGGGGACGGCUAACUACGUG